Molecule: small RNA, 1268 nt
Filed under: uncultured Magnetospirillum sp.
Lineage: Bacteria; Pseudomonadati; Pseudomonadota; Alphaproteobacteria; Rhodospirillales; Rhodospirillaceae
Description: bacterial SSU rRNA
Rfam family: Bacterial small subunit ribosomal RNA (bases 1-467)
Source: RNAcentral
GUCGUGAGAUGUUGGGUUAGGUCCCGCAACGAGCGCAACCCUCAUUGUCAGUUGCCAUCAUUUAGUUGGGCACUCUGACGAAACUGCCGGUGACAAGCCGGAGGAAGGCGGGGAUGACGUCAAGUCCUCAUGGCCCUUAUGGGCUGGGCUACACACGUGCUACAAUGGCGGUGACAGUGGGGUGCAAGACCGCAAGGUGGAGCAAAUCCCAAAAAGCCGUCUCAGUUCAGAUUGCACUCUGCAACUCGAGUGCAUGAAGGUGGAAUCGCUAGUAAUCGUGGAUCAGCAUGCCACGGUGAAUACGUUCCCGGGCCUUGUACACACCGCCCGUCACACCAUGGGAGUUGGCUUUACCCGAAGCCGGUGCGCUAACCGCAAGGAGGCAGCCGACCACGGUAAGGUCAGCGACUGGGGUGAAGUCGUAACAAGGUAGCCGUAGGGGAACCUGCGGCUGGAUCACCUCCUUUCUAAGGAAAAACGUCAGGCAACGAGCCUACUGCCGAGCGAUCGGCGGGAGUUCCUACAUGUACAGGGAAUUCCUAGGCCACCGUCUCCGCAUCCCUUCUCCGGAUCUGAUCGAGCAAGCUGGCCGCGCGUGUCAUGCGCAGCGGCCCUGUUUGCUUGGAACGAGCUCUAGGGGCUAGUAGCUCAGUUGGUUAGAGCACACGCUUGAUAAGCGUGGGGUCGGAGGUUCAAGUCCUCCCUGGCCCACCAUGCAUCCGUCGAAACCGGGGGCGUAGCUCAGUUGGGAGAGCGCUAGCUUUGCAAGCUUGAGGUCGUCGGUUCGAUCCCGUCCGCCUCCACCAGUUUCGUGGAUGCGGCGGACUCGAUAGAGCGUCGUGAGUAAGAUCCGGAGCGGUUAAGAAUUUCGGAGCCCGUCAAGGGCGCCGAUCGCGGCCGAGAUUCGGCUUUGCGGAUAUUGGACACGUAAAUAGGGUUUUCUAGACCAAGGUAGCCUGCUUUCGGGGCGCCCUGCUAAAGGUCUGGGUGGCGUUCGGCCGGAAUGCUUUGCAUUUCAUACGACGCCGUCUUCGGAUCCAAGGGCUCUUUGUGGGCAGGUUAAUUUGAUGCUGAGUACCGUCCGGCCGGUCUUGCCGGAUGGUUAGUGAUCAGGCGGCGCGGCGACGAAAUCGUCCCUGCGCGCGGUCCUGAAUUUUCAAGCGAAUUAAGGGCAUUUGGUGGAUGCCUUGGCACUGAGAGGCGAUGAAGGACGUGACACGCUGCGAUAAGCCGUGGGGAGCUGCGAGUAAGCUUUGAUCCGCGGAUUU